CAGAGUUCAUGCCCUUACGGGUAGAUCUCCCACCCUUGAAAUACAUACCUUUGUUGCUUUGGCGGGCCGCGGUCCUCCGCUACCGGCUCCGGCUGGUAUGUGCCCGCCAGAGGACCCCAACUCUUGUUUUUAGUGAUGUCUGAGUACUAUAUAAUAGUUA
RNAcentral lists this unclassified non-coding RNA (160 nucleotides) under uncultured Helotiales. RNAcentral describes it as "sequence contains ITS1". Lineage: Eukaryota; Fungi; Ascomycota; Leotiomycetes; Helotiales. The record is from RNAcentral.